GCCGGGUGGGCCGAGGGCUCGGGGCCAGGAAGAUGGGUGGAGGGUGAGAUGUCAGGUGGAGGAGGGCUGGGUGACGCUGCCUCCUUCCCAGCAGGAGCCUUCCCAGGGGGAGCUGGUGGCAGAGGAGGACCCGGACCCGCCGGAACUGAAUCUCCAGAUAGAGGAAAGCCGAGAUGCCGGGCCUUUCCUGAAGCGGCUGGCGCGGCCUCGCAGAAGCGCACCCAAAGGCCGGAAAGCAAGGGCUCGCAGAGCGAUCGCAGCUCACUAUGAAGUUCACCCACGACCGGGACAGGACGGAGCGCAGGCCGGUGAGACCCCAUUCCCACCUGCCCCUGCUCUCCCCCCGCCACCCCCGUCCCGUAUUCUAUGAAUCUUCACCACUCUGAUCAUUUUUCUCAAAAUGUUUCUACUAGGCUCUUCUUUUCCACCUUUACCCGACCUCCCAACUCAGCACUAUGACCUCAGAACCUCAAACCCAGUCUCUGGCCCCUUCCCCUCCCAGACUCUCCCCCCCCCCCAACUACUCCAUCCCACCUGCGUUGCCAAGGCCUCUAAGUGAAGUAGAUAGAUUCGGUAUGUGGCUUGAAGCUAGCGGCUUGCUUAUGAGUCGGCUGUGCGGGGGAAGGGGAAGGAAGGAAUCACAAAUGACUUCUCGGUUUUGAACUUGGGCAUCUUUGGGAAUCGUGAUGCCAUUUAUUUUUUUUUUAACGUUUAUUUAUUAUUGAGAGAGAGAGAGAGACAGAGCAUGAGCAGGGGAGAGGCAGAAAGAGAGGGAGACACAGAAUCCGAAGCAGGCUCCAGGCUCCGAGCUGUCAGCGCAGGGCCCGACGCGGGGCUCGAACCCAGGAACCGCGAGAUCACGACCUGAGCUGAAGUCGGACGCUUAACCGACUGAGCCACCCAGGCGCCCCUAAUGAUGCCAUUUAUUGAGGCGGCGUUAACCAGGGGAGAAAUGGGUUGGGAGAUACGUAAAUUAAUCGUUAAGUGUUUAAUAAUCAGCCAGCGGCUUCCACAAAUAGCUGGCCGGACAUCGUGGGCCGGCUCAGGCUAGGUCAGGACGCGAAUAGUCAGGCGUCACAGCCACAGACGUGGUAUUGAGAGCUGUAGGAUUGGAUGAAACACCGCGAGGAAGAAGCACCCCCAGAGUGAGUUCCUGAGGCUCUCGGGACAUCCAGAGGGGAGGCCAAAGACAGCCCAGUGGACGCUGAGAAAAGCAGCCGGACAGAAGGGAAGAAACCGGGGAGGGGAGUGUCCUGUGAUCUGGGAGAAGACUCGGUCUCACCCAGGAGGGUGUGGCCAUCUGUGCCCCAUGCAGCUGAGUGGUCACAUGAGAUGACCGCUGGGUUUGGAAACCUUAAAAGUCAGCUGGUGACCUGGACGUGGGCGGUUUCAGUGGCCCCGUUAGGGUGGACGCCAGUGUGGAUUGGGUUAAGAGAAAAUGGGAACUAGGAAUUGGAGACGGUGACAACCCUUUCUAGAAGUUUCUCUGUGACGAGCGGAGCAACAGGCCAGUAGCUGGAGGGAGCUGUGUAUGGAGGAAGGGUGCAGUCCUUCUGGUGAUGAGCGACCCUACAGGGGUCUUAGCCAACGGCUACUGAAUGGAACACUCAUCCAGUCUCUGCAGUAGCCCUAAAAGGAAGCCGUCAGCACGGAGCCCGAUGCGGGGCUCGAGCUCACGAACUGCGAGAUCAUGACCUAAGCCAAAACCGAGAGGUGGGCGCUUAACCGACUGAGCCACCCAGGCGGCCCGGUAGAUAGAGGCCACUUAACCUGUGUGAGGCCUCGAGGAUACCCAGGGGUGGAGCCCGGGUUUGAACCCAGCCAGCGCAGGCUUGUGUCCCAGACGUGCCUGGUGCGGGGGUGGGGGGAGCCUGCAGGGCAGCGUCCAGGAAGGGGGCCGGGGGUGGGUUCCAGAACCGAGAGAGGAACACGUCAUCCCCUGGAGAAUGUGACGACAGGUCAGUUUUUAGUGCUGGUGGGGGGACGUGAGGGAGCCCUUGCGUGAUGACUUCUAGGUCCUCGGGAGAGUGAGGAGGGUGGGCGGGGGGUGAGCAGAGGUGGUACAAAACACUUAUCUUGAGGACUACAAGAGCGAGCUUCGUGGGGAGGAGCAGGAAGGCUGCCAGGCUAUAAAGAAUGUCCAUUUGAGGUUUGUGGUGGGGACAUUGGCGGACAUCGUGGUCCCAGGGACCCCGUGCCCCCUGGCCACAACCAGCCUUCGCCCAGGCUGGUCCCAUAGUGGGGCGCGCCCUCCCUCCUUCUCUCCCCCUCCUCUUCCUCCCCUCCAGAUGGGCCAUUUAUUUUAGCAGCUACCCAGACAUUCAUUCGUCCCCUGACGGAACACACACGCACUGAGCACCUGCUGUUGGUAAGGACCGGGCCGGGCGCCCACGGGCGAUGAUACCCAGACCUGUUCGCGAGAAAAAGUCACUGUCUAGGAGAGGAGACAGGCAUAGGGAUUUGCAAGUUACGGUAGGCUGGGACAGGAACAAGAAUGAAAGUAGCCAGAGGUAGGCGGUGGCAAAGAGGAAGACACCCAACUUUACAGUGGAGUCGGGAUUCCUGUCUCAAAAAGGCGUGGACCCUGAAGCGCGAAUGUAAGAUGGACCAGGGGUCAAGGGCGUGCCAGGUGGAAGGAGCCGCUUGUGCCAAA
This 2653-nucleotide long non-coding RNA is filed under the name Lynx canadensis (Canada lynx). Its description in RNAcentral is "lncRNA (ENSLCNG00005016180.1)". The record is from RNAcentral. Lineage: Eukaryota; Metazoa; Chordata; Mammalia; Carnivora; Felidae.